AAUACAUGCAAGUCGAGGGAGCAAUCCUACCGGCAAACGGGUGCGGAACACGUACGCAACCUUCCCAUUACUGGUGAAUAGCCUUUCGAAAGAGAGAUUAAUACACCGUAACAUAACGAGGAGGCAUCUCUUUGUUAUUAUAGUGCAAUACGGUUUUGGAUGGGCGUGCGCCUGAUUAGGUAGUUGGCGGGGUAACGGCCCACCAAGCCUGCGAUCAGUAACUGGUGUGAGAGCACGACCAGUCACACGGGCACUGAGACACGGGCCCGACUCCUACGGGAGGCAGCAGUAAGGAAUAUUGGUCAAUGGACGCAAGUCUGAACCAGCUAUGCCGCGUGAAGGAUGACGGCCCUCUGGGUUGUAAACUUCUUUUAUCUGGGACGAAAAAAGCCUUUUCUAAGGCACUUGACGGUACCAGAGGAAUAAG
Molecule: ribosomal RNA, 427 nt
Filed under: grassland soil clone sl1_212
Lineage: Bacteria
Description: bacterial SSU rRNA
Rfam family: Bacterial small subunit ribosomal RNA
Source: RNAcentral